ACGACUGCUAAGACUGGAUAUGAAGUUUUGAGGCAUCUCGAAACUUUUAAAAGACCCGCAAGGGUAUGCUGAGAGAUGGGCUUGCGGCACAUUAGUUAGUUGGUAAGGUAAUGGCUUACCAAGACUAUGAUGUGUAGCUGGACUGAGAGGUUGAACGGCCACAUUGGGACUGAGAUACGGCCCAAACUCCUACGGGAGGCAGCAGUAAGGAAUUUUCGGCAAUGGAGGAAACUCUGACCGAGCAACGCCGCGUGAACGAUGAAGUAUUUAGGUACGUAAAGUUCUUUUAUUAAAGAAGAAAAAAUGAUGGAAAAAUCAUUCUGACGGUAUUUAAUGAAUAAGCCCCGGCUAACUAUGUGCCAGCAGCUGCGGUAAUACAUGGGGGGCAAGCGUUAUCCGGAUUUAUUGGGCGUAAAGGGUGCGUAGGCGGUUAAAUAAGUCUAUGGUAUAAGUUCAACGCUUAACGUUGUGAUGCUAUAGAAACUGUUUGACUAGAGUUGGAUAGAGGCAAGUGGAAUUCCAUGUGUAGCGGUAAAAUGCGUAAAUAUAUGGAGGAACACCAGUAGCGAAGGCGGCUUGCUGGGUCUUAACUGACGCUGAGGCACGAAAGCGUGGGGAGCAAACAGGAUUAGAUACCCUG
This 640-nucleotide ribosomal RNA is filed under the name Candidatus Phytoplasma prunorum. RNAcentral's name for it is "bacterial SSU rRNA". It matches the Rfam family "Bacterial small subunit ribosomal RNA", at positions 156 to 789 of the family's 1533-position model. The record is from RNAcentral. Lineage: Bacteria; Bacillati; Mycoplasmatota; Mollicutes; Acholeplasmatales; Acholeplasmataceae.